UACAGAGGUGGCAAGCGUUGUUCGGAAUUACUGGGCGUAAAGGGCGCGUAGGCGGUCUUGUAAGUCUUGUGUGAAAUCCCUCGGCUUAACUGAGGAACUGCACGAGAUACUGCGAGACUUGAGUUCGGGAGAGGAAAGCGGAAUUCCGGGUGUAGCGGUGAAAUGCGUAGAUAUCCGGAGGAACACCGGUGGCGAAGGCGGCUGACUGGUCCGGUUCUGACGCUGAGGCGCGAAAGCGUGGGGAGCAAACAGG
RNAcentral lists this ribosomal RNA (253 nucleotides) under uncultured bacterium. Its description in RNAcentral is "partial 16S ribosomal RNA". It matches the Rfam family "Bacterial small subunit ribosomal RNA", at positions 524 to 776 of the family's 1533-position model. The record is from RNAcentral.